RNAcentral lists this unclassified non-coding RNA (402 nucleotides) under soil metagenome. RNAcentral describes it as "partial contains 5.8S ribosomal RNA, internal transcribed spacer 2, and large subunit ribosomal RNA". The stretch from base 1 to 121 matches the Rfam family "5.8S ribosomal RNA", at positions 35 to 154 of the family's 154-position model. The record is from RNAcentral.
GAUGAAGAACGUAGCGAAAUGCGAUAAGUAAUGUGAAUUGCAGAAUUCAGUGAAUCAUCGAAUCUUUGAACGCACCUUGCACCCUUUGGCUAUUCCGAAGGGUAUGCCUGUUUGAGUAUCAUGAACACCUCAACUCUCAUGGUUUGCCAUGAUGAGCUUGGACUUUGGGGGUCUUGCUGGCCCGUGGUCAGCUCCUCUCAAAUGGAUUAGCUUGCCAGUGUUUGGUGGCAUCACAGGUGUGAUAACUAUCUACGCUUGUGGUUUUCCACCAGGUAACCUUCAGCAAUGGGGGUUCGCUGGGGCUGAUAAAUGUCUCUCCUCAGCGAGGACAGCUCUUUGAACGUUUGAUCUCAAAUCAGGUAGGACUACCCGCUGAACUUAAGCAUAUCAAUAAGCGGAGGA